AACGACCGGUCGGGCAUUCACGUGCCCGGCCCACAAGUGGAGGCUCCGCUCUCCCACCUGGCCGCUCCUAGGAGUGGCGGGUCACCGGUCAGGCGGUCAUGUCGAGAGACAUGGCACGCCCGAAGUCACGCCCCGCGAUGUGUCGCGGCGGUGUUCCGGUAUGCAAGGAGCCCCGCCCGUGAUCGUCCGGGGCAUUUUUC
This 200-nucleotide non-coding RNA is filed under the name Streptomyces uncialis. RNAcentral describes it as "Streptomyces RNA 1601". It matches the Rfam family "Streptomyces RNA 1601". From Rfam's summary of the family: Identified by deep sequencing of transcriptome at the end of exponential growth phase. The record is from Rfam by way of RNAcentral. Lineage: Bacteria; Bacillati; Actinomycetota; Actinomycetes; Kitasatosporales; Streptomycetaceae.